Molecule: transfer RNA, 149 nt
Filed under: Alloalcanivorax venustensis
Lineage: Bacteria; Pseudomonadati; Pseudomonadota; Gammaproteobacteria; Oceanospirillales; Alcanivoracaceae
Also listed under: 2 other names
Description: tRNA-Arg
Rfam family: tRNA (bases 84-146)
Source: RNAcentral
GUAGCUCAGUUGGGUGAACGCGGGGGUUUCCGGCGUAUACGCCGGCCGCGUUCACGCCUCGCGGAUACCGCCGCGAGGCCGGGGCCCGGAGGGCGAGCAAGCGCCUCCUAAGCGCUAGGUCGCAGGUUCGACUCCUGCUCGGGGCGCCA